Molecule: ribosomal RNA, 465 nt
Filed under: Vreelandella stevensii
Lineage: Bacteria; Pseudomonadati; Pseudomonadota; Gammaproteobacteria; Oceanospirillales; Halomonadaceae
Description: partial 16S ribosomal RNA
Rfam family: Bacterial small subunit ribosomal RNA
Source: RNAcentral
CCUACGGUGUGGCAGCAGUGGGGAAUAUUGGACAAUGGGCGAAAGCCUGAUCCAGCCAUGCCGCGUGUGUGAAGAAGGCCUUCGGGUUGUAAAGCACUUUCAGUGGGGAAGAAAGCCUUGGGGCUAAUACCCUCGAGGAAGGACAUCACCCACAGAAGAAGCACCGGCUAACUCCGUGCCAGCAGCCGCGGUAAUACGGAGGGUGCGAGCGUUAAUCGGAAUUACUGGGCGUAAAGCGCGCGUAGGCGGUCUGAUAAGCCGGUUGUGAAAGCCCCGGGCUCAACCUGGGAACGGCAUCCGGAACUGUCAGGCUAGAGUGCAGGAGAGGAAGGUAGAAUUCCCGGUGUAGCGGUGAAAUGCGUAGAGAUCGGGAGGAAUACCUGUGGCGAAGGCGGCCUUCUGGACUGACACUGACGCUGAGGUGCGAAAGCGUGGGUAGCAAACAGGAUUAGAUACCCAGUAGUC